Molecule: RNA transcript, 1406 nt
Organism: Ziziphus jujuba (common jujube)
Lineage: Eukaryota; Viridiplantae; Streptophyta; Magnoliopsida; Rosales; Rhamnaceae
Exons: 5
Source: RefSeq, a predicted model, not a curated record
UUUCAAGGGAGAGAGAAAGAGAGAGUUUCAAAGAGUUUGGUGGUGCGCUUGCGUUAGGGAGGUUCUCUGGAAGGCUCAAGCUCAGUUUUUUGUUUUUGUUUUUGUUUUGGGUGUUCUGUUUCUAUAACUGCACAAGCACAAUAGCAAUGGAGGUCUGUGGCAAAUCUGGAGUAGCAGGGCCUGCUAAGGUUAUUUUUCUGUCAACUAUUCUGGGCCGUGACGGGUCAAUUCCUGUUCACAAAUGCGACUGGAAGUGUGAAAAUGAACAUGUCUGUGGUAAUAUGUAUCGCUGCAAACUAACUGGACUCACUCACAUCUGUGACAAGAACUGUAACCAGAGGAUUCUGUAUGACAACCACAGCUCACUCUGCCGGGCAAGUGGUCAAAUUUUUCCCCUUUCAGCAGCUGAGGAGCAGGCAGUGAGAGGUGUCCGGAGGAAACUUGACUCGGAGAAUUCACCUACUGAUAGCUGUGGUUUUAAGCGCAGACGGGAUGCACAGUACCAUCCUUCUCCUUUCGAGAGAUCCUUCUCUGCUGUCAGUCCAAUCUGCAGCCAAGUUGGAGAUGGCAUGGAUAUGAGCUAGAUUUAUAGCAUAAAUGAAGGCUUCUAUUGCUUAUCUUAAUCUUGUUCCCUUUCAAAUCUUUCCUUUUCUAUUCACGGACAAAUUUGGACAGUAGAACUUAUGAAUCGGGCCAUAAUCAGUACAGGGUACUCUGGUUAUUUUCAAGACUUGUUUGAUGAUUUUUUUAGGUGAAAUUAUUAUCUCUGGAAGAUGAGAAUGAAGAUACACCUAGCAACACUGAUGAUGGCAAUAUGGUAAUAUUUUUCUGCAUUAAAAUUCUUCAUUUUCCUCUUUACUGCUUGGUUGGAGGGAAGACAAUCUACUUGUUUUCAUAUGCUCUAUUGCCCAUAUGUUUUUAUCUACUUGUUGGCAUCUCUACGACUCUUGUCAUACCAGAAGAGUUGAUUUCAAAUUUGCUUGAGCACGUUCUUCUAUUCUUGCCUUGCUUUCGUGUCAAUCCUUGAUCUUCUCCUGGCAGCUUGGCAGCUUGGCAGCAUCCAAUUUUAAGGGAAGUUCAAACUAAUUCUGGCACUUUUGUAUACCGCCUUUGGUUGAUAUAGUUUGUACGGUAUAUGAGUUACGCUUUUAUUCCUUUUUUCAGGGUGUCAUUUUUGGAGAUAGGUUGGUAAGACUUCAGCUGGCAAAUCAUCGUCUUGGCUGAUGGUGAAAAGGAAAGAAAUUAUUAAAGUGAUGGUUACAAACCUUGUGAACCUUGCUGAUUGUGAUCAAGUCCAGCUAAUCUAUUCAUACAAAGCUGUAGUUUUAUGUGAAAAGGAUGUAAUUCAACUUUGUGAACAUUGAUGGUUUACCUUAUUAAGGUGUGGUAGCUAAAAACUUUUUUUA